GGGCGCGUGGUGGAAUGGGUAGACACGAGGGACUUAAAAUCCCUUGGCUUCGGCCAUGCAGGUUCGAUCCCUGCCGCGCCCACCA
This 85-nucleotide transfer RNA is filed under the name Alphaproteobacteria bacterium. RNAcentral describes it as "tRNA-Leu". It matches the Rfam family "tRNA". Rfam says of the family: Transfer RNA (tRNA) molecules are approximately 80 nucleotides in length. Their secondary structure includes four short double-helical elements and three loops (D, anti-codon, and T loops). The record is from RNAcentral. Lineage: Bacteria; Pseudomonadati; Pseudomonadota; Alphaproteobacteria.